RNAcentral lists this ribosomal RNA (506 nucleotides) under uncultured bacterium. Its description in RNAcentral is "partial 16S ribosomal RNA". It matches the Rfam family "Bacterial small subunit ribosomal RNA", at positions 28 to 523 of the family's 1533-position model. The record is from RNAcentral.
GAUGAACGCUAGCGGCAGGCCUAACACAUGCAAGUCGAGGGGUAACUAGAGUGAUAGCAAUAUUACUUUGGCUAGACCGGCGCACGGGUGCGUAACACGUAUGCAACCUGCCUUAUACUGGGGAAUAACUUCGAGAAAUCGGCGCUAAUACCCCAUAACACUGCGGAGAGGCAUCUCUUUGCAGUUAAAGCUCCGGCGGUAUAAGAUGGGCAUGCGCCCAAUUAGCUAGUUGGUGAGGUAACGGCUCACCAAGGCUACGAUUGGUAGGGGUUCUGAGAGGAUGAUCCCCCACACUGGAACUGCGACACGGACCAGACUCCUACGGGAAGCAGCAGUGAGGAAUAUUGCGCAAUGGACGAAAGUCUGACGCAGCCAUGCCGCGUGCAGGAUGACGGCCCUAUGGGUUGUAAACUGCUUUUGUACGGGAAUAAACCCUUCUACGUGUAGGAGGCUGAAGGUACCGUAAGAAUAAGCACCGGCUAACUCCGUGCCAGCAGCCGCGGUAA